This is a small nucleolar RNA of Phyllostomus discolor (pale spear-nosed bat), 64 nucleotides long. RefSeq annotates it as small nucleolar RNA SNORD75. The transcript has a single exon. The record is from RefSeq and is a predicted model, not a curated record. NCBI's taxonomy places the organism in Eukaryota, Metazoa, Chordata, Mammalia, Chiroptera, Phyllostomidae.
AGCCUGCGAUGGUUUAAGAGUAGUGGACAGAAGGGAUUUCUAAAAAAAAUUCUAUUUUGUGGCU